GCCCGGGUGGUGAAAUUGGUAGACACGCCAGCUUGAGGGGCUGGUGGUUGCAAGACCGUGCUGGUUCGAGUCCAGUCCCGGGCACCA
Molecule: transfer RNA, 87 nt
Filed under: Flavobacteriales bacterium
Lineage: Bacteria; Pseudomonadati; Bacteroidota; Flavobacteriia; Flavobacteriales
Description: tRNA-Leu
Rfam family: tRNA
About the family: Transfer RNA (tRNA) molecules are approximately 80 nucleotides in length. Their secondary structure includes four short double-helical elements and three loops (D, anti-codon, and T loops).
Source: RNAcentral